CUUUUUAUAAAAUAAAAUAAACUGAAUGUUUGUGCCCCUUUCACCAAAAUUCAUAUGUUGAAACCCAAUCCCCAGUGAGAUGGGAUUAGGAAGUGGGGGAUGCCAGGCUGGUUCAGUUGGUGGAGAAUGCAACUCUUGAGUUCAAGCCCCACAUUGGGUUUAGAGAUUACUUUAAAAAAAAAAAAAAAAAAAGCAAGUGUGGCCUUUGAGAGGUAAUUAGGUCAUGAGGGUAGAGUCCUCAUAAAUGGGAUUAGUGCCCUUAUAAAAGAAACCCCAAAGAGUUGGCUUCCCCAUCCCCCAGUGAGAGCUCCCGGCAAGAUGGCGGUCUGUGAACCAGGAAGUGGGCUCUCACCAGACACCAAGUCUGCUGCUGCCUUGAUCCUGGACUUCGGAGCAUCCAGAACGGGAAAUACUGAGGAUAAAGGAACAAGUUCAGUGCCAUCGCAAAGGCACAAGACAGACAAAUCCGGAAUAGAGGACGUUGUACAGGAUAACUGGGCUGUUUUCUUCAAAAAGUUCUUGGCAAUUAUGAAUGAAGCUACAACAGACAUCCUUGUACAGAUUUUUGUGUGAACUUGAGUUUCCUCUUCGCUUGGAUAAAUACCGAAGAGAGGAGGGGCGCCUGGGUGCUCUGUUGGUGGAAGCAUCUGACCCUUGAUUUCAUCUUGGAGUCAUGAGAUAGAGCCCUGCGUUGGCUCUGCCCUGAGCACGGAGCCUGCUUGAGACCAUCUCUUUCCCUCUCCCUCUGCCGCUCCCCACAUCUCUCUCUUAAGAAAUCAAUUAAAGGGGCGCCUGGGUGGUCCUGGGAUCGAGCCCCACACCAGGCUCUCUGCUCAGCGGGGAGCCUGCUUCCUCCUCUCUCUGCCUACUUGUGAUCUCUGUCUGUCAAAUAAAUAAAUAAGUAAAUCUUU
This 911-nucleotide long non-coding RNA is filed under the name Mustela putorius furo (domestic ferret). RNAcentral describes it as "lncRNA (ENSMPUG00000026231.1)". Lineage: Eukaryota; Metazoa; Chordata; Mammalia; Carnivora; Mustelidae. The record is from RNAcentral.